RNAcentral lists this ribosomal RNA (892 nucleotides) under uncultured bacterium. Its description in RNAcentral is "bacterial SSU rRNA". It matches the Rfam family "Bacterial small subunit ribosomal RNA", at positions 505 to 1397 of the family's 1533-position model. The record is from RNAcentral.
GUGCCAGCAGCCGCGGUAAUACGUAGGGAGCAAGCGUUAUCCGGAUUUAUUGGGUGUAAAGGGUGCGUAGACGGGAAAAUAAGUUAGCUGUGAAAUCCCUCGGCUUAACUGAGGAACUGCAACUAAAACUGUUUUUCUUGAGUACUGGAGAGGAAAGUGGAAUUCCUAGUGUAGCGGUGAAAUGCGUAGAUAUUAGGAGGAACACCAGUGGCGAAGGCGACUUUCUGGACAGAAACUGACGUUGAGGCACGAAAGUGUGGGGAGCAAACAGGAUUUGAUACCCUGGUAGUCCACACUGUAAACGAUGGAUACUAGGUGUAGGCUGUGAUAAACGGUCUGUGCCGUCGCAAACGCAGUAAGUAUCCCACCUGGGGAGUACGGCCGCAAGGUUGAAACUCAAAGGAAUUGACGGGGGCCCGCACAAGCAGUGGAGUAUGUGGUUUAAUUCGAAGCAACGCGAAGAACCUUACCAGGGCUUGACAUAUAUAUGACGAUUCUAGAGAUAGAAUUUCUUUUCGGAGCAUAUAUACAGGUGGUGCAUGGUUGUCGUCAGCUCGUGUCGUGAGAUGUUAGGUUAAGUCCUGCAACGAGCGCAACCCUUAUACUUAGUUGCCAGCAUGUAAAGAUGGGAACUCUAGGUAGACUGCCGGUGAUAAAUCGGAGGAAGGUGGGGACGACGUCAAAUCAUCAUGCCCUUUAUGUCCUGGGCUACACACGUACUACAAUGGAUGUUACAGAGGGAAGCGAAACAGUGAUGUGGAGCAAAACCCAAAAAAGCAUUCUCAGUUCGGAUUGAAGUCUGAAAUUCGACUUCGUGAAGCCGGAAUUGCUAGUAAUGGCAGGUCAGCAUACUGCCGUGAAUACGUUCCCGGGCCUUGUACACACCGCCCGU